Molecule: ribosomal RNA, 422 nt
Filed under: uncultured bacterium
Lineage: Bacteria
Description: partial 16S ribosomal RNA
Rfam family: Bacterial small subunit ribosomal RNA
Source: RNAcentral
AAUUUUCGGCAAUGGGGGCAACCCUGACCGAGCGACGCCGCGUGAGUGAAGAAGGCCUUCGGGUUGUAAAGCUCUGUUGUAAGGGAAGAACCGUAGUAAGAGGGAAUGCUUACUACCUGACGGUACCUUGCCAGAAAGCCACGGCUAACUACGUGCCAGCAGCCGCGGUAAUACGUAGGUGGCGAGCGUUAUCCGGAAUUAUUGGGCGUAAAGGGAGCGCAGGCGGCUUAUUAAGUCUGAGGUUAAAUCUUGGGGCUCAACCCCAUGAUGCCUUAGAAACUGGUGAGCUAGAGUGCAGGAGAGGUGAGUGGAAUUCCAUGUGUAGCGGUAAAAUGCGUAGAUAUAUGGAGGAACACCGGUGGCGAAGGCGGCUCACUGGCCUGUAACUGACGCUGAGGCUCGAAAGCGUGGGGAGCAUAUAG